AGAAAGAACCAGCCAGUGAAACUGAGAACAAGUGGCCAGGGAGGUUUGUUAUCGACCCAAUCAUUACAUCGCUACCCAAGAGUUGGAAACUUCCUGUGUUGCCCACGCUGGUCUCAAACUCCUGGACUCAUGGGAUCCUCCCACCUUGGCCUCCCAAAGCAGUGGUAUUACAGGCAUGAGCCAUUGCACUGGGCUCCUGUUUAGUUUUAAUUUUAAAACACCUCAAGAGUCAGAUAAUUCAGGGAAAGACCAUGCAAGGCUGUUACUGAAGAAAGUGCUACGAGUCUGUUCUAGACAUGGCUUGCCUAGCACUGAGCAUCCUUCCUCACUUCUAAGUGAGAAUUUUCCAGAUCUGUGCAUUGGGGUCCCCCAAGAAAGAGGCUCAGUCCUGAUGUACUGUUUCCUGUAUACUGCAUGCUCACCCCCCAAAACCACAUGGUUAAUCCAGAUCCAGCCCCUGCUUUCUUAGUUAUGAGGCUUCUCAUGGCAAAGCAAUAAAAAGCAAGUUUUCAAUGAUAAAGUCAUGUCUGAAAACAUGUUAAUUGUCAUCAUCUUUGAUGUUGUAACCUGAGCUAUAGAUUGUUGGGAUGCACACGUUACUCUUUUAAGCUUAUGUGCCUUGAUUCUGUCUACAUCAUUUCUUUCUUUCUGAACUGUGAACUGCGCUAAUUUGAUGGGGUUUGCUACCUGAUUGGGGUCCUGACCUUAGCCUUCAUCUUGCCAUAUACAGUUUGUUUUUGUCUCCAUCAGCGUUAGCUCUGUUCAACGCCCUUGUGGAGUCCAGGACUUAGAGAGAGGAUCUCCAAGCAGAAGCCCCCAGCCCACGUGAGAACAGGGAGACCCUUGUGCCCUUAACUGUUUUCCAUAGUACUGCCCAGCCUUGUACACUCUGGCCCAAAUGUUCCUCACCUUUGGAAGACACAGAACUUCUUUCAAAACCAUUGAAAUAUCGAGAUCAUUUCCGCAGAAAGAAAAUGUAAUUUAAGGUAAUUCGUGGACUUACCCCCACCCCCCCAAUUUUAUUCAUGAAUCAUAGUAAUUCUAGGGACCUCAGGUUACAAACUUCACUUUGGUCAGAAACAUUAAAAGCUAUUUUGGGAUAAGACAGAAACCAUAGGUUAAAUCUUUUUUUUUUUUAAACAUACUUCUUAGGGGUUAACAAAAUGUCAUAGAUUGUUUAUAACUAUAUGAAAUACGUUCCUGAAAGCAUCAAAAUCUUUAUUAAUGAACUAGUACUAAAAUGCUUACUAGCCUAACCUUGUACUAAAAGACCCUGGAGUAUUGUUAUAAUCAUUAGUAUUUUGAACCAUGGUCAGUUUGGGUUUUACUCUUCAUUUCAGGCUUGGUUUCUGCUUAUAUGUUAUUUUGCAUUUGUGCCUCGAAAGUUUAUGCCUUUGCUCACUUCUCAACAACUUUAGCAUUUACAAUAUAUUAGAAAAUGCUAUCAAUGACCAGAGACUAGAGUAGCAGGUCCCAUAGCUGAUGUUUAUUUUGUAAAAGCAGGAUGUAGUAGAAAUAACACAUGUACCACAGCGAGAAGGCUGGGGUCGAAAUUCUUGUGCUGUAGCAGAAAAGGUAUUUGAACCUCCUAAACUUAUUUAAGGUAGAGUCCUGGUGUUUGGCAAAUAGUAAUAAUAGUCAGGACCUUACCAUGUGCCAGACAGCAUUCCCAGAACUCACACAUACAGAGCUCAUUUCAUCUUUACCACAAAUAUGGGGGAUGUAUGUGAUUGUCCACAAUUUAUAAAUGAGAGGAAGGGAGCAGAGAGACUUGAAAUAACAUGUUUGAAUCACAGACCUAAAAGUGCAAAGGCCAGAUUCAAGUGCAGCCACUGAACUCCAGCAUCAAAGCUCCUCCCCACCUCACUAUACUGCCUCCCAUGGGUGACCUCGGGGGUUACAUUAACUCAUGUAUGUAUCAGUGCUUAGAGCAAUUCCUGGCAUGGAGCAAAUGCCAUGUAUGUAUGAGCUGUUACUAUUUUUGAGAAACAGCACAGCAUAGCUUAAUGAUCAGGAACAUGGACUAUAGAACUACAUUGUCUGAACUCAACCCCCAAUGCUGGUUCCUCCAUCAGUAACUUGUGUGACCUUGGACAAAUUACUUGUCAUCUCUGUGAUCAUCAUAAAUGAAGAUGAAAAUAGUCUACCUUGUAGGGUUAUUGUACAGAUUAAGUAAGAUAAUAUUCCUAAAGCACUUAAGGCACUUUUUUUUUUGGAGGGGGCUUUUUAUUUUUUAACUUUUAGGUUCAGGGGUACAUGUACAUGUUUGUUACACAGAAAAAAUGCAUGUCAUGAGGGUUUGGUGUACAGAUUAUUUUGUCACCCAGAUAAUAAGCAUAGUACCUGAUAAGGCAGUUUUUUAAUCCUCUCCUUCCUCCCACCUCCCACCCUCAAGUAGGCCCCAGUGUCUGUUGCUGCCUUCUUUGUGCCCAUGUGUUCUCAAUGUUUUAACUCUUACUACUAAGUGAGAAAGUACAAUAUGUGAUUUUCUGAUCUUACAAUUAUUUGCUUAGGAUAAUGGUCUCCAGCUUUAUCCAUGUUGCUGCAAAGGACAUGAUCUCAUUCUUUUUUAUGGCUGCAUAGUAUUCCAUGGUGUAUGUGUACUACAUUUUCUUUAUCCAGUCUGCUGUUCAUGGCCAUUUUGGUUGAUUCUAUAUCUUUGCCAAUGUGAGUAGUGCUGUGAUUAACACACAUGUAUGUAACUGAAUCAUGCAUGAAUCAUGUAGAAUGAUUUAUUUUCCUUUGGGUAUACAGCCAGUAAUGGGAUUGCUAGGUCAAAUGGUACUUCUGUUGUAAGUUCUUUGAUAAACACCCACACUGCUUUCCACAAUGGCUGAACUAAUUUACAUUUUCACCAGCACUCUGUAAGCAUUGCAUCAUCUUCAUGACCUCUCCAGCAUCUGUUAUUUUUUCUUUUUUGUAAUAGCCAUUCUGAUUGGUGUGAGAUGUUGGGGCUAUUUGGUUUUUGCUUAAUUUAAGUUCCUUAUAGACUGGAUGUUAGACCUUUGUUGGAUGCAUAAUUUGAAAAGAUUUUCUCCCAAUCUGUAGGUUUGUCUGUUUAUUGUCUUGUUAGUUUUUCUUGUGCAGAAGCUCUUUGAUUAGAUCUUAUUUGUCAAUUUUUGUAUUUGUUGCAGUUGAUUUUGGCAUCUGAGGAGGUGUAUGAUCUCUACAAUAAGAACUGCAAAAACACUGCUCAAAGAAAUCAGAGAUGAUACAAACAGUGAAAAAAUAUCCCAUGCUCAUGGAUAGGAAGAAGCAAUAUUAUUUAAAUGGCCAUGCUACUCAAAGCAAUUUACAGAUUCAGUGCUAUCCCUAUCAAACUACCAAUGACAUUCUUCACGGAAUUAGAAAAAACUAUUUUAAAAUUCAUACAGAACCAUAAAAGCCCAAAUAGCCAAGGCAAUCAAUUCUAAGCAAAAAGAACAAAACUUGGAGGCAUCAAUUUAUGUGACUUGAAACUACACUACAGGGCUACCGUAACCAAAACAGCCUGGUACUGGUACAAAAGCAUACACAUAGACCAACAGAACAGAAUAGAGAGCCUAGAAAUAAUGCCACACACCUGUAAUCAUCUGAUCUUUGACAAAGUUGACAAAAGCAAUGGGGAAAGGACUCCCUAUUCAAUAAAUGGUGCUGGGAUAACUGGGUAGCCACAUGCAAAAGAUUGAAACUGGACCCCUUCCUUACACCAUAUACAAAUAUCAACUCAAGAUGAAUUAAAGAAUUAAAUGUGAAACCUCAAACUAUAAAAAUCCUUCAAUAUAACCUAGGAAUUAGCAUUUUUGACAUAGGCCCCAGCAAAGAUACUUUCUUCUUAAUACCUAGGAAGUGCCCAUUUACAAAAAUAAUGUCCUUCUUUGCUGACUUUGAAAAUAUACUCGGAUAAAACAGAGUAGGUCUUAUUAAUUGCAUAUGUUCACAUUUCAAAAUGUAAGUAGCCUUAUGUAAACCCCUAAAUAGCUAGUGACAUGAAUUUUUCAUUUCUUACAUGUGAAUAAACUUAAGCUGUACAUAGUUAAGAAGGCUUGGAACAAUUCAUAGAGAUUAUGACCUGUGAAGAACUGGCCAUCCAGAUAGGUCCCCACCACAUGCCACUGACCUUAUCUCCACCAUCACUGACUUCUUUUUAUGUUUAGAGGAUCCAGAUGCUCAGUGUCAUCUUCGAAGAUGCCAGGUCACAUUGGCAAAGGCCGCAAGAACUGAUAUGAAAAACCAGAUGCAAUGAAAACCGUAACUGUACAUGAGACAGAACUGCCCAAGGUCAAGCUGGGGCAUUCUGUGUGAAGAGGAAGAUGCCUUGGCAGAAGAUCACUUCAUCAUGACCAGGGCAUCAGAAGAAGGGGUCGCAGAAUUUAUUCAUGAUUCAAUAAGUAUGCACCACCUGUCUGGAAGUGAGUUAGCAUAAAACAUAAGUUCAGUAAGAAUACAAGAAUGAGUGAGUGAAUUAAGAAAUGAAUGGAUUGGGAGUUACCAUUGGCCACACACCGCUUAGACAGUAGAAUAUCUCAGCCAGGUAGAAAGAAUGGAUCAUGGUGGCCCAGCAAAGCAUGUACUUCCUGGGGCAGAUUGUGGCAUCAUUAUCUCCAACAUCUCUGACAAUUUCUGUUUCAAGUUAAGGGCUGGUCAGCUUCUAUUCUUAGAAACACUUUCUUUACACAUGUCAGUAAAUCAAAUCUUGUCUUUAGAGACAAUCCAUCUUGUUAAACUAACUUUGUUUGGGUCUACCCUGACCCUGUUUGUGCCACCCCUGCCCCCAUACAUAUAAUCAGUUUUGUCUGUAGUUAUAAUUUGUCCAUAAUUUGGAAAAGAGAAGCCUAAAAAAGUUCACUCUAGACACUUUCAGCUAGGAACAAACUUAUAUGUGAAAAUAAUUAAAAUGUGGGGAGUGAAGGUUUAUAGUGGAACUAUUUACAGACCCUCAAACACUGCACAACAGUUGAAACUUUGCUGUAGUGACUUCAUUCUCUUAGUUGUCAAUCUGUUUUUCUUCUACAUUUCUUCCACAUACUUCUGGUAUAUUUUUAAUAAAGAUUUUUCAAAAAGAUAAAUAUGGCUUAUAUUUUCCCAGCUCAAAAUUCCCCUGAAGGCCUCCGAAGCAGUAAAUAGUAGUGCUU
Molecule: long non-coding RNA, 5114 nt
Filed under: Homo sapiens (human)
Lineage: Eukaryota; Metazoa; Chordata; Mammalia; Primates; Hominidae
Description: HSALNT0238767
Source: RNAcentral